UAGGGAAUCUUCGGCAAUGGGGGCAACCCUGACCGAGCAACGCCGCGUGAGUGAAGAAGGUUUUCGGAUCGUAAAGCUCUGUUGUAAGAGAAGAACGUGUGUGAGAGUGGAAAGUUCACACAGUGACGGUAACUUACCAGAAAGUCACGGCUAACUACGUGCCAA
RNAcentral lists this ribosomal RNA (165 nucleotides) under uncultured bacterium. Its description in RNAcentral is "partial 16S rRNA". It matches the Rfam family "Bacterial small subunit ribosomal RNA", at positions 355 to 511 of the family's 1533-position model. The record is from RNAcentral.